Molecule: ribosomal RNA, 279 nt
Filed under: uncultured bacterium
Lineage: Bacteria
Description: partial 16S ribosomal RNA
Rfam family: Bacterial small subunit ribosomal RNA
Source: RNAcentral
UGCCAGCCGCCGCGGUAAUACGGAGGGGGCUAGCGUUGCUCGGAAUUACUGGGCGUAAAGAGCACGUAGGCGGGUAUUCCAGUCAGGCGUGAAAGCCCCGGGCUCAACCCGGGAACUGCGCUUGAUACUGAAUACCUAGAGUCCGAGAGAGGGUGGUGGAAUUCCCAGUGUAGAGGUGAAAUUCGUAGAUAUUGGGAAGAACACCAGUGGCGAAGGCGGCUAACUGGCUCGGUACUGACGCUGAGAUGCGAAAGCGUGGGGAGCAAGCAGGAUUAGAUA